This 253-nucleotide ribosomal RNA is filed under the name uncultured bacterium. Its description in RNAcentral is "partial 16S ribosomal RNA". It matches the Rfam family "Bacterial small subunit ribosomal RNA", at positions 524 to 776 of the family's 1533-position model. The record is from RNAcentral.
UACGUAGGAGGCGAGCGUUGUCCGGAGUUACUGGGCGUAAAGCGUGCGCAGGCGGUUUUGUAAGACUGUCGUGAAAUCCCCGGGCUUAACCUGGGAAUGGCGAUGGUGACUGCAAGGCUAGAGUUUGGCAGAGGGGGGUAGAAUUCCACGUGUAGCAGUGAAAUGCGUAGAGAUGUGGAGGAACACCGAUGGCGAAGGCAGCCCCCUGGGUCAAAACUGACGCUCAUGCACGAAAGCGUGGGGAGCAAACAGG